GAAAGCCGUGUGCGGGAAAACCGCAUGCACGGUUUGAUGAGGAAGGAUUGGCAAGUCUACUAUGGUGCGGCUAUUUAGGCACCGUCAAACGAAAGGGACGGAAACAGAUAAGCCAGCCUAAAGCGGUCAUUGCCAGUUCUCUACUCUAC
This is a non-coding RNA of Peptococcaceae bacterium SCADC1_2_3, 149 nucleotides long. Lineage: Bacteria; Bacillati; Bacillota; Clostridia; Eubacteriales; Peptococcaceae. The record is from Rfam.